AACGAACGCUGGCGGCAUGCCUAACGCAUGCAAGUCGAACGAGACCUUCGGGUGUAGUGGCGCACGGGUGCGUCACGCGUGGGAACCUGCACUUAGGUUCGGAAUACCUCCCCGAAAGGGGUGCUAAUACCGGAUAAUGUCUUCGGACCAAAGAUUUAUCGCCUUUGGAUGGGCCCGCGUUGGAUUAGCUAGUUGGUAGGGUAAAAGCCUACCAGGGGGUCGAUCCAUAGCUGGUCUGAGAGGAAGGUCCGCCACACUGGGACGAAGAAACGGCCCGGACUCCUACGGAAUGGAGCAGAGGGUAAUAUAGGAAAACGGGCGGAGGGCUGAUCGAGUAAGGCCGGGAGAGUGAUGUAGUCGGUAGGGAAGUAAAGCUCGUUUACCCGCGAUUAUAAUGACGGUACCGAGAGAAUAAGCACCGGCUAACUCCGUG
Molecule: ribosomal RNA, 433 nt
Filed under: uncultured bacterium
Lineage: Bacteria
Description: partial 16S ribosomal RNA
Rfam family: Bacterial small subunit ribosomal RNA
Source: RNAcentral